This is a long non-coding RNA of Bos indicus x Bos taurus (hybrid cattle), 1002 nucleotides long. The record is from Ensembl. Lineage: Eukaryota; Metazoa; Chordata; Mammalia; Artiodactyla; Bovidae.
AUGUAUGUCAUCUGGCCCGCUAGCCAUCAAUGUCCAGACGGUCCCCAUGAGCCCUUCCGGGAGGUGGUGCCAGCCCUGGGAAAGUCUCAGAAGUGCAGGUCAGUAUCCGUGACUCCUGAAGGGCACCUGCCCGUAAUAUGUUUUCUCUCUUUAGGACAGACCUUGUGUGGCUGGCCUCUUGCUCCAACCGUAGCAAGACCCACGGGGUUUUCUGAAAUUGUGCCAACGUCAGGGAAAGGAUUCUGCUGUCGGUCCCACUCCAAAGUUCAAAAAAUGGGUGGUGGGCACAGAAUCCGGCCUCUGCUUGUGGCAUACGUCGUCUGCUCCCCAACCCUCAGGGGCCAGCCCAUGACUGGGGGGCGGAUUCCGAGCAUAUUCAACUCUGGGAAAGUCUGCAGUUCUGAUGACAGUUGCCUUGUUUUGAAGAGCAGUCAUCUGUGGUUCAUCUGCUUGUUUCCGUUCUCUCUCUUUCUCCCCUUUGUCUUUGGUGUUUCACUUGAUUUGUGUAUGAGGCUAAUCAAAGGGUCAACUGGUUUCUCCAUUUUAAAUCACCCACUGAAGGAUGCUGGGGUGGCACCCCACCCCACCCCCCGCGUGGGCCAGAGGCAGUGUUGGUGGGAGCUCGGAGAGUGCAGCUGUGGGUGUCAGGGUCAGGCACACGCACAGCACCUCACUGAGCUCCUUCCAAAGCAACGUCUUCCAAGGGGAGCCCCUGUGCCGGGGGUUGGGGGUGGGCGCCCGGAGUCACCCUCUCUGGGUUCUGGGGCUGGAGAGUUGGCCCCACAGGGUUUCGUCUCUGUUAACUCUGGUCAGGGUCCGCUCCACCUGCAGACUGCCCAAGGGUGGGAUGGCUGGGGGAAAGAAGCAUUCUCAGAUAUCCAUGGAUGCUCGUGGGCAGCCCCCGGGGCACUGUGCCCAAGCGUGGGCACCUCUCUGCAGGAUAAGAUUCCACCUGGGUCUCUCGCUUACCUUCCAGGGAUGCAUUGGGAGGGUUGGCCUUAG